Molecule: non-coding RNA, 197 nt
Filed under: Alistipes sp.
Lineage: Bacteria; Pseudomonadati; Bacteroidota; Bacteroidia; Bacteroidales; Rikenellaceae
Source: RNAcentral
ACAUUUGUUCCGGAGCAAGGUUCCCCGCCGGCGGCUGCCGGCACGGGAUCAAAAGGGAACUCCUGUGAGAAUCAGGGGCUAUUCCCGUAGCUGUAAGCCUUGAUUGCGUUCCGCACUCUCUUGAGCCACUGUCCCCCGGGACGGGAAGGCGUGCGGAUGGGGCGAGCCAGAAGACCUGCCUUGCGAGCUGCGACAUC